UUAACUUUAACCGUAAAUUUAAAACAUCAAUUUUGAAGGAAGGUCGUAAAAUUGUUAAGCGAUACGGAAAAAUUCGGAAAUAAUUCUAACUACACCAACAAAAACUUUGAACCUUUACCUUUAAAAUGAGCUAUCACAUGUAUCUCUCCAAUUCACACAGCCCUGUCAAUAAUUCGACAAAGACAUCUCUGCAUUUAAACUUUGAAGAGGUGGGGAGGGGAAGGGAAAGGUGGGAUUUUUUGUCUCUUCCUCAGAUAACUAUUUCUUCGAUGUCCACAACAACCUCCAAUCACUCGUUUGCCGGAACUCGCUCGGUAAACGUUAAUUGCGUUAUCGACUACUAUUGGCAAAUAUCGACAACCGAUAGACUUACCACAUGCUUUGCAGCUCCUCAAACCCUAUCUGUAGCACGCAACAUACAACCAAUAUAAUCACCGAAAAAUAUGAGCCAUAUUUUACUCUCGAACAGCAAUGACACCUGCUGGUUCCAAACUUAGCAGCCAUCAAUUCCGUGGCUCAAACUAAAGUAAAAGAAAUUAGGACGAUCUUCCACCAGCUGACAGUUCAUCAACACGAAAUAUCCGACGAUCAUCAAUCAGUUUUCUCAAAAGUGAACAGAGGAAAAAUCAACUAACAAAUCAAGGAAGAAUCAGUUUCUUCUACCAAACUUCCACUUCCACUUGAAUUCAAAUGCAGGCAAUGCUAGAAGUUGGUCCAUUGGGAAAAGCGCAAAAUGGGUGACCGGUGUGAUAAAGCAUUGAAAUGGUUAUUGGAUUGCGAAAAACUGAUUAGCUCAUCUCUCAUGAAAUGGAAAUCCAUUUUGAUAGCCAACGAGUACAGAAACACGAAAGUAGCAUUUAAUCAAAACGUGAACACUGGAUAACAUGUCGGAAAUCAUCGCAGAUUGAAGAAGUUCGUCGCAAACAACGCAUUCUUCACCAUCGAUUUUUUUAUUUUUUACUUCGAUUCAUUUAGAAUUUACGCAGAUUCGAUGUCAAGCACGCAA
Long non-coding RNA from Bradysia coprophila, 1006 nucleotides. Lineage: Eukaryota; Metazoa; Arthropoda; Insecta; Diptera; Sciaridae. The record is from RefSeq and is a predicted model, not a curated record.